GACGAACGCUGGCGGCGUGCCUAAUACAUGCAAGUCGAACGCAGUGGGGACGGGUGAGUAACACGUGGGUAACCUCCCAUCAGAGGGGAUAACACUUGGAAACAGGUGCUAAACCGAUACUGAUGGAUGGACCCGCGGUGCAUUAGCUAGUUGGUGAGGUAACGGCUCACCAAGGCCACGAUGCAUAGCCGACCGGAGAGGAUGAUCAGCCACACUGGGACUGAGACACGGCCCAGACUCCUACGGGAGGCAGCAGUGGGGAAUCUUGCACAAUGGGCGAAAGCCUGAUGCAGCCAUGCCGCGUGUAUGAAGAAGGCUCUCGGGUUGUAAAGUACUUUCAUGCGGGAGGCGUUACCGACAGAAGAAGCACCGGCUAACUCCGUGCCAGCAGCCGCGGUAAUAC
RNAcentral lists this ribosomal RNA (403 nucleotides) under uncultured bacterium. RNAcentral describes it as "partial 16S ribosomal RNA". It matches the Rfam family "Bacterial small subunit ribosomal RNA", at positions 28 to 526 of the family's 1533-position model. The record is from RNAcentral.